Molecule: ribosomal RNA, 647 nt
Filed under: uncultured Flavobacterium sp.
Lineage: Bacteria; Pseudomonadati; Bacteroidota; Flavobacteriia; Flavobacteriales; Flavobacteriaceae
Description: bacterial SSU rRNA
Rfam family: Bacterial small subunit ribosomal RNA
Source: RNAcentral
GAUGAACGCUAGCGGCAGGCUUAACACAUGCAAGUCGAGGGGUAGAAGCAGCUUGCUGCUUUGAGACCGGCGCACGGGUGCGUAACGCGUAUGCAAUCUACCUUUUACAGAGGGAUAGCCCAGAGAAAUUUGGAUUAAUACCUCAUAGUAUGUGAGAAUCGCAUGGUUUUCACAUUAAAGUUCCAACGGUAAAAGAUGAGCAUGCGUCCCAUUAGCUAGAUGGUAAGGUAACGGCUUACCAUGGCGACGAUGGGUAGGGGUCCUGAGAGGGAGAUCCCCCACACUGGUACUGAGACACGGACCAGACUCCUACGGGAGGCAGCAGUGAGGAAUAUUGGACAAUGGGCGCAAGCCUGAUCCAGCCAUGCCGCGUGCAGGAUGACGGUCCUAUGGAUUGUAAACUGCUUUUGUACAGGAAGAAACACUCCCUCGUGAGGGAGCUUGACGGUACUGUAAGAAUAAGGAUCGGCUAACUCCGUGCCAGCAGCCGCGGUAAUACGGAGGAUCCAAGCGUUAUCCGGAAUCAUUGGGUUUAAAGGGUCCGUAGGCGGUUUAAUAAGUCAGUGGUGAAAGCCCAUCGCUCAACGGUGGAACGGCCAUUGAUACUGUUAAACUUGAAUUAUUAGGAAGUAACUAGAAUAUGUAGU